This 841-nucleotide ribosomal RNA is filed under the name Acinetobacter gyllenbergii. Its description in RNAcentral is "bacterial SSU rRNA". It matches the Rfam family "Bacterial small subunit ribosomal RNA", at positions 85 to 921 of the family's 1533-position model. Lineage: Bacteria; Pseudomonadati; Pseudomonadota; Gammaproteobacteria; Moraxellales; Moraxellaceae. The record is from RNAcentral.
ACCUAACCUAGCGGCGGACGGGUGAGUAAUGCUUAGGAAUCUGCCAUUUAGUGGGGGACAACAUUCCGAAAGGAAUGCUAAUACCGCAUACGUCCUACGGGAGAAAGCAGGGGAUCUUCGGACCUUGCGCUAAAUGAUGAGCCUAAGUCGGAUUAGCUAGUUGGUGGGGUAAAGGCCUACCAAGGCGACGAUCUGUAGCGGGUCUGAGAGGAUGAUCCGCCACACUGGGACUGAGACACGGCCCAGACUCCUACGGGAGGCAGCAGUGGGGAAUAUUGGACAAUGGGCGAAAGCCUGAUCCAGCCAUGCCGCGUGUGUGAAGAAGGCCUUUUGGUUGUAAAGCACUUUAAGCGAGGAGGAGGCUACCUAGAUUAAUACUCUAGGAUAGUGGACGUUACUCGCAGAAUAAGCACCGGCUAACUCUGUGCCAGCAGCCGCGGUAAUACAGAGGGUGCGAGCGUUAAUCGGAUUUACUGGGCGUAAAGCGUGCGUAGGCGGCUUUUUAAGUCGGAUGUGAAAUCCCCGAGCUUAACUUGGGAAUUGCAUUCGAUACUGGGAAGCUAGAGUAUGGGAGAGGAUGGUAGAAUUCCAGGUGUAGCGGUGAAAUGCGUAGAGAUCUGGAGGAAUACCGAUGGCGAAGGCAGCCAUCUGGCCUAAUACUGACGCUGAGGUACGAAAGCAUGGGGAGCAAACAGGAUUAGAUACCCUGGUAGUCCAUGCCGUAAACGAUGUCUACUAGCCGUUGGGGCCUUUGAGGCUUUAGUGGCGCAGCUAACGCGAUAAGUAGACCGCCUGGGGAGUACGGUCGCAAGACUAAAACUCAAAUGAAUUGACGGGGGCC